AUGGAGGAGGCGAGAGGGAAGGAGACGACGGAGGGGGUGGCCGCCGAUGUGAGCCUGAAGGAUCUGUCCAGGAGGCUCGAAGACUUCGCAAAGGAGAGGGACUGGGAGAAGCACCACAGCCCAAGGAACCUUCUGCUCGCCAUGGUCGGCGAGGUCGGGGAGCUGUCGGAGCUGUUCAUGUGGAAAGGCGAGGUGCAGAAGGGCUUGCCUGGCUGGGAGGAGAGGGAGAAGGAGCACCUCGGCGAGGAGCUCUCCGACGUGCUGCUCUACCUGAUCCGUCUCUCCGACAUGUGCGGCGUCGACCUCGGUGACGCGGCCCUGAAGAAGAUCGUGAAGAACGCCGUCAAGUACCCGGCGCCGUCAAAGAGCGCCUGA
RNAcentral lists this ribosomal RNA (375 nucleotides) under Triticum aestivum (bread wheat). Its description in RNAcentral is "partial small subunit ribosomal RNA". Lineage: Eukaryota; Viridiplantae; Streptophyta; Magnoliopsida; Poales; Poaceae. The record is from RNAcentral.